RNAcentral lists this ribosomal RNA (492 nucleotides) under uncultured bacterium. Its description in RNAcentral is "partial 16S ribosomal RNA". It matches the Rfam family "Bacterial small subunit ribosomal RNA", at positions 29 to 507 of the family's 1533-position model. The record is from RNAcentral.
AGUGAACGCUGGCGGUAGGCCUAACACAUGCAAGUCGAACGGCAGCACAGUAAGAGCUUGCUCUUACGGGUGGCGAGUGGCGGACGGGUGAGGAAUACAUCGGAAUCUACUUUUUCGUGGGGGAUAACGUAGGGAAACUUACGCUAAUACCGCAUCCGACCUACGGGUGAAAGCAGGGGAUCUUCGGACCUUGCGCGAUUGAAUGAGCCGAUGUCGGAUUAGCUAGUUGGCGGGGUAAAGGCCCACCAAGGCGACGAUCCGUAGCUGGUCUGAGAGGAUGAUCAGCCACACUGGAACUGAGACACGGUCCAGGCUCCUACGGGAGGCAGCAGUGGGGAAUAUUGGACAAUGGGCGCAAGCCUGAUCCAGCCAUACCGCGUGGGUGAAGAAGGCCUUCGGGUUGUAAAGCCCUUUUGUUGGGAAAGAAAAGCAGCAGGUUAAUACCCCGCUGUUCUGACGGUACCCAAAGAAUAAGCACCGGCUAACUUCGUG